AGGACGAACGCUGGCGGCGUGCUUAACACAUGCAAGUCACGGGGGCUUCGUAAGGAGCAACCGGCGAACGGGUGCGUAACACGUGAGCGACCUGCCAUACCUGUGGGGGAUAGCCGGCCCAACGGCCGGGUAAUACCGCAUACGAUCUUUCGGGCGCCUGCUUGGGAGACGAAAGCUGGGGGGUAACCUUUGGCGCAGGAUGAGGGGCUCGCGGCCUAUCAGCUAGUUGGCGGGUAACGGCCACCAAGGCGACGACGGGUAGCUGGUCUGAGAGGAUGGCCAGCCACAUUGGGACUGAGAGACGGCCCAGACUCCUACGGGAGGCAGCAGUGGGGAAUCUUGCGCAAUGGCCGGAAGGCUGACGCAGCGACGCCGCGUGUGGGAGGACGCCCUUCGGGGUGUAAACCACUGUUGCCCGGGACGAAAUCUCCUUUGGGGAGACUGACGGUACCGGGUGAGGAAGCACCGGCUAACUCCGCGCCAGCAGCCGCGGUAA
Molecule: ribosomal RNA, 496 nt
Filed under: uncultured bacterium
Lineage: Bacteria
Description: SSU rRNA
Rfam family: Bacterial small subunit ribosomal RNA
Source: RNAcentral